Crotalus tigris (Tiger rattlesnake) is the source of this 350-nucleotide long non-coding RNA. RefSeq lists it as uncharacterized. The record is from RefSeq and is a predicted model, not a curated record. NCBI's taxonomy places the organism in Eukaryota, Metazoa, Chordata, Lepidosauria, Squamata, Viperidae. The transcript is spliced from 3 exons.
CAGAUCUGUUAUUCAACCAUCUCAAUAUCACUGUGAUGCCAUGCUGGAUUUGGACAAUGGAGGCAAAAAGAAAGAGAAAACAUUGAACAAAAUAGGAACUACCUGACAUAGCAAAGAGUCAUUAAGGUAUUCAGUUGAUGGAAGAUAAGGACAAAAGAGUUUUUGAGAAAUUUAUGGAUGGAAUAUGGCAUUCUUACAUUUCCUUAGUUACCAAGUAGCCGAGAACUAUACGUGAGUAUCUUCAAUUAAACAGCCACCUCUCUUCUAGGCUCCUUCCCAUAACUCACUUCAAUCCUAAAGAAAUUCUUUAGAUUUCCUCCCAGGUACUCAUUAUUAUUAUUUUUAAGUGG